CUUAGGAAUAAUCUUUCUAUCAAACAAUGUGGAUUUUUUUUUAAUGUGUUACUAUACAAUUUUUGCCGAUACUGUUAUCGCGUCUGAAUACACGCGAAGAACGUUUCUGAGAAAUUUUCUUGCGUGACGUUGUUCGAUAUUUCCUGCUAAAACGGUGGCCUUGUAUGAAAUUACCGUGGGUGAAUCGAAUCGAUUUCGAGCCAAAUAUCUCGUUCUUGCGAAGCUGCGUUCCUUCGCGCCUCGGCCUUCUCGUUUCGUGGCCAUCCCAGUUAUUUUUGUGUGUACACCCACUCACAGCAGUCUCGAGGUUUUCUUUGUAUAACAUUAAAAGAACGAGAGUAGAUAAUUGUAAAUUGUUUUCCUAUUUUAAAUUUAAGACAUACGAGUGACUCUGUUCUUUGUAUAAUGAUCUCUCCUUGCAUUGGAAUCUUUUUGUUUGUAUUGGUUAAUUAUCAUCUAAAGCUCGAGUUUGACAAAUGGCUAAGUGCAUGAAUAAUUGAUUCUGUUUGAAUGACUACGGAAAUUAGCUUAGAGCAGGCAGGAUCGUAGAUUCAAUAUUUAACGGUUUCUUCAUAUGAGAACUAUGGUUUUACAUAAAAGUUGACCCUUCCCGUAAAGCCGGGUCGUGAACUACACGCGUCACAUACGAAAUUUCAUAUCCGAAGGUCGCGAGGAGUGCCAGAUAACCUUCACACUUAAAGGUUCUCUCGAUUAUUCCUGGUUCCUAUGAGGCCUCUCGCAAUCUGAAAUUUUCCAUCGGUACAAAAGAGAUUGCCAGUAAUUAAAAGGGUUAUCUGACGAUCCUUAGUCACGAUGGAACAGAUUUAUUCCGAUUUCUCACUAUUAAGAAAAAUACAUUAUCUCGUGAAUUCAUUAAAUGAAUUGAUCGUUUUUUAAAUAGCGAUUUGCAAUUCGUACAACGAUCUAUCAUGAAAGACUUCUGAAUGUUUAUAAGAAGCCACUUUGUUUGUCAAUUAUUAUUUAUGUAAUUCUUUGUUGUCGCCACGCGCUCCGUCCGAAUGGUUCGAGGCAAGGGGCAUUAUGAAAAUACGUGAUAAAAACCAACGUUUAUUUUACGUUUCAUGUAAUCGGGCCUGUCGACCAGUUUAUGCGUCACCGACACAAUUUAUCGCUUGCUAAUUAAUCCAUAAUUCCCAGUAAAAGUUUUCAUCGUCAGGCUACAGGUUUUAUGGAUUUACAAGGAAAUUAAGUUUGGAUUAAACGUGAAUAAUACAUGCAGUGGGUAAAAGUGCGUAACAGGAAAAUGCAUGCAAGCAUGAAAGGAGAUUCUUAUUCUCGGUACAUAAUUCUGUAUUUAAAUAAGAGUUUUCGGUCUUUUUCUGAAGAACUAGACGUGACUAAUCGUGACACCCGGUACAAUCGCGGUCCAUUGAAGCGUGUUUUCAUCGCCACGAGCGUUUGAAGUCGGAUUAACUUUGUAUUGUCCAUCCCGGCCGGUCCCAUUAUCCGGCCGAUUGACGUAUCUAAUUGCAUCAAUUGCGCAACAAAUGGAAAUUAGGCUGCUGCGCGGUGGUCAAUGCCGUGCGCUGGGGUCAAACGUCUACGCGCACGCGUCUCGUUUCUCAUUUUUCGCGCCCCGAACAGGGAAUUACGAAUUGCGAGAUUUAUGGAAAGUCGAUGUUUUAUAGGAAAGUCAAUUUUAUAUAGGAAAAUAUAAUGGAAAGUAGAUUUACUUAAUGUACCAUAGGAUAUAUACAUAAGUUUUAUAGUUAAAUGGAAUUAGAAAUCAAUUCUAUUUAAUGCAUAAAAAGAAGGAAUUGAUUAGGUAGCAAAUCUAAAUAGAAUCAAAUCUGAAUUUCAUGUCUUCAUUAAAGUUUUUUUUUGUAUUGUACAUAAAAAGU
Long non-coding RNA from Ceratina calcarata, 1862 nucleotides. RefSeq lists it as uncharacterized. NCBI's taxonomy places the organism in Eukaryota, Metazoa, Arthropoda, Insecta, Hymenoptera, Apidae. The record is from RefSeq and is a predicted model, not a curated record. The transcript has 3 exons.